CCCUUUCAUUCCUUCCUUCCCUUUCCUAUUCUUCCCCCUUCUCUUUCCAUUUGCUCUUGCUCUCUCUCUCUUCCUCCCUCUCUCUCCUCUCCCCCCUACCCUUUUUUGCCCCACCCAUAAUCUCGAGAAACCAAAUGUACACUGGAAAAAUACCCUGAGAACUGAAGGAAGUGCUCCUAAACGUUUCAUCAUUAAGAAAGCCAACACUGGAUCAGGCAGUUGGUUGCAAACCGUUCCUUUUUUUUCCUAUUUUAUCCUCAAAUUUUCACAUUGCUUACUUUCUUCUGAUGAGAGAUUUAAUUAUUGGUAUUUAUGUUCACUACAGGGUGUGCUCACCACGGGACUGAUGAAAGGGAAAUAAAUGACGGCCCUGUUUUCCUUCCUUGUGAAGAGUGUGGCAGCUUCUCUGAGUCAUGACAUACACCCACAAAGGCUAAUCAACAGGUGAGUACAGAAAAUAUUUAUCACUCAUUACAAUUAGCUGGAAAAGUGGGACUUUUCCAUCUGGGAACAAAGCAUCUUCGUUUUCACUUUGCACUUACUGAAUCCCUCCACGUCCACAUUUUUUUAUAAAAUGUAAUAACUGC
Molecule: long non-coding RNA, 587 nt
Filed under: Ornithorhynchus anatinus (platypus)
Lineage: Eukaryota; Metazoa; Chordata; Mammalia; Monotremata; Ornithorhynchidae
Description: lncRNA (ENSOANG00000050859.1)
Source: RNAcentral